ACCUGGGUGGCUCAAUCGGUUGAGCAUCCGACUUCGGCUCAGGUCAUGAUCUCACAGUUUGUGGGUUCGAGUCCCGCAUCAGGCU
RNAcentral lists this transfer RNA (85 nucleotides) under Felis catus (domestic cat). It matches the Rfam family "tRNA". From Rfam's summary of the family: Transfer RNA (tRNA) molecules are approximately 80 nucleotides in length. Lineage: Eukaryota; Metazoa; Chordata; Mammalia; Carnivora; Felidae. The record is from Rfam by way of RNAcentral.